AUCGAAGGGCCUGGCCGCUUGAGUCUAGAAUCGGCAGGACAGAUAAAUAUUCGAGGUAUAACUCGAGGUGGUUGGCGGUGGUCGUUGGGGGUGGUUAGGGGUGGUUGCGGGUAAUCAAGGUGAUUCCGGAGGAGGGAGACGAGGAUUUGUGCUCGGUAUACCCGUGGUGGAUAUCGGUGGUUGUUGUAGGUGAUUGGCGGUGGUUGAAGGUGUUCGGAGUUGGACGAG
RNAcentral lists this long non-coding RNA (228 nucleotides) under Neodiprion pinetum (white pine sawfly). RNAcentral's name for it is "uncharacterized LOC124218885". Lineage: Eukaryota; Metazoa; Arthropoda; Insecta; Hymenoptera; Diprionidae. The record is from RNAcentral.